UUAAGACUACUUCCAGGAUCAUUUCUGUAGUUCCUUACAAUAUUAUUGUUUUUUAAGGAAGCUCAUGGAAACCAUUUAGCUGAAGAACUGGGGGCUUCUCAGAUACGUGAAGCUCAUUUAGAGG
Molecule: small nucleolar RNA, 124 nt
Filed under: Erinaceus europaeus (western European hedgehog)
Lineage: Eukaryota; Metazoa; Chordata; Mammalia; Eulipotyphla; Erinaceidae
Description: Small nucleolar RNA U3
Rfam family: Small nucleolar RNA U3
About the family: Small nucleolar RNAs (snoRNAs) are involved in the processing and modification of rRNA in the nucleolus. There are two main classes of snoRNAs: the box C/D class, and the box H/ACA class. U3 snoRNA is a member of the box C/D class.
Source: Rfam by way of RNAcentral